AGUCGAGCGAACAGAUAAGGAGCUUGCUCCUUUGACGUUAGCGGCGGACGGGUGAGUAACACGUGGGUAACCUACCUAUAAGACUGGGAUAACUUCGGGAAACCGGAGCUAAUACCGGAUAACAUUUGGAACCGCAUGGUUCUAAAGUGAAAGAUGGUUUUGCUAUCACUUAUAGAUGGACCCGCGCCGUAUUAGCUAGUUGGUAAGGUAACGGCUUACCAAGGCGACGAUACGUAGCCGACCUGAGAGGGUGAUCGGCCACACUGGAACUGAGACACGGUCCAGACUCCUACGGGAGGCAGCAGUAGGGAAUCUUCCGCAAUGGGCGAAAGCCUGACGGAGCAACGCCGCGUGAGUGAUGAAGGGUUUCGGCUCGUAAAACUCUGUUAUUAGGGAAGAACAAACGUGUAAGUAACUGUGCACGUCUUGACGGUACCUAAUCAGAAAGCCACGGCUAACUACGUGCCAGCAGCCGCGGUAAUACGUAGGUGGCAAGCGUUAUCCGGAAUUAUUGGGCGUAAAGCGCGCGUAGGCGGUUUCUUAAGUCUGAUGUGAAAGCCCACGGCUCAACCGUGGAGGGUCAUUGGAAACUGGGAAACUUGAGUGCAGAAGAGGAAAGUGGAAUUCCAUGUGUAGCGGUGAAAUGCGCAGAGAUAUGGAGGAACACCAGUGGCGAAGGCGACUUUCUGGUCUGUAACUGACGCUGAUGUGCGAAAGCGUGGGGAUCAAACAGGAUUAGAUACCCUGGUAGUCCACGCCGUAAACGAUGAGUGCUAAGUGUUAGGGGGUUUCCGCCCCUUAGUGCUGCAGCUAACGCAUUAAGCACUCCGCCUGGGGAGUACGACCGCAAGGUUGAAACUCAAAGGAAUUGACGGGGACCCGCACAAGCGGUGGAGCAUGUGGUUUAAUUCGAAGCAACGCGAAGAACCUUACCAAAUCUUGACAUCCUUUGAAAACUCUAGAGAUAGAGCCUUCCCCUUCGGGGGACAAAGUGACAGGUGGUGCAUGGUUGUCGUCAGCUCGUGUCGUGAGAUGUUGGGUUAAGUCCCGCAACGAGCGCAACCCUUAAGCUUAGUUGCCAUCAUUAAGUUGGGCACUCUAGGUUGACUGCCGGUGACAAACCGGAGGAAGGUGGGGAUGACGUCAAAUCAUCAUGCCCCUUAUGAUUUGGGCUACACACGUGCUACAAUGGACAAUACAAAGGGCAGCUAAACCGCGAGGUCAUGCAAAUCCCAUAAAGUUGUUCUCAGUUCGGAUUGUAGUCUGCAACUCGACUACAUGAAGCUGGAAUCGCUAGUAAUCGUAGAUCAGCAUGCUACGGUGAAUACGUUCCCGGGUCUUGUACACACCGCCCGUCACACCACGAGAGUUUGUAACACCCGAAGCCGGUGGAGUAACCAUUUAUGGAGCUAGCCGUCGAA
RNAcentral lists this ribosomal RNA (1421 nucleotides) under Staphylococcus sp. BQN4T-04. Its description in RNAcentral is "16S ribosomal RNA". It matches the Rfam family "Bacterial small subunit ribosomal RNA". The record is from RNAcentral. Lineage: Bacteria; Bacillati; Bacillota; Bacilli; Caryophanales; Staphylococcaceae.